CACUCACAGAUACAGAGAGGCGGAGCCUUGGGGAUCUGAUUCUGAAAAAGAGUGACUCAACUUUUGUUUUGCACACUGCAAACAUGACCAUCCUUUGCGUUUUACUUCUGCUACUGAUGAUUAAAAAGGAGACACUGGCACAGUCAAUAACACAGCUGGAAGACAAGGCACUUAAAUCUGAAGGAGAAAAAGUCACUCUGUCAUGUAAAUAUGAUGGAGCUGUAAAUAACCUGCACUGGUAUCGACAGUAUCAGGGAUCCAAAUCGGAGUUCCUCGCAUAUAUUUAUCCACAUGGAGCCACAAGUAAACCUCUUCCUGAUGGUCUCAUACCUAAAGUUGAUAAAAACAACAAUCUUGUGAGCCUGGAGAUCUCCGAUGCCAAAGUAACAGACUCUGCACUAUACUACUGCGCACUGACGCCCACAAUGACAGGAAACUCAACUACACUAAGAAGCUCCUCCUAUAAAGUGUUUGAGGUCUCCUGCAUCACAGAGAUGCAAAAGCAAGAAGAGACUCUUAACUUCUCAGUUAAUUUUUAUGACUUUGACGAUUUCACUUGA
This is a non-coding RNA of Labeo rohita (rohu), 560 nucleotides long. The record is from the annotation of a RefSeq genome assembly. Lineage: Eukaryota; Metazoa; Chordata; Actinopteri; Cypriniformes; Cyprinidae.